RNAcentral lists this unclassified non-coding RNA (415 nucleotides) under soil metagenome. RNAcentral describes it as "partial contains 5.8S ribosomal RNA, internal transcribed spacer 2, and large subunit ribosomal RNA". The stretch from base 1 to 120 matches the Rfam family "5.8S ribosomal RNA", at positions 35 to 154 of the family's 154-position model. The record is from RNAcentral.
GAUGAAGAACGUAGCGAAAUGCGAUAAGUAAUGUGAAUUGCAGAAUUCAGUGAAUCAUCGAAUCUUUGAACGCACCUUGCACUCCUUGGUAUUCCGAGGAGUACGCCUGUUCGAGUGUUAUGAAGCUCUCAAAACGCAAUUGGCUUAAAACCUGAUUGUUGUUUGGAUUUGAACUUUGCCGUGUUAUAACGGCUGGUUUUAAAAGUAUUAGCUGGUACUAGAACGAAUUGGUUCUACUCAACGUGAUAAUUAUCUGAUCGUUGAGGACAUUCCUUUCACGAGGAAUGGCCAUAGUAAAUUCAAUGGACUGCUUCUAAUCUGGCUUUAAUUCUUUAUUGGAUUAACCACUUUUCAAAUCUGACCUCGAAUCAGGUGGGACUACCCGCUGAACUUAAGCAUAUCAAUAAGCGGAGGA